ACGGAAGGCAGCAGUGGGGAAUAUUGCACAAUGGGGGAAACCCUGAUGCAGCGACGCCGCGUGAGUGAAGAAGUAUUUCGGUACGUAAAGCUCUAUCAGCAGGGAAGAAAAUGACGGUACCUGACUAAGAAGCCCCGGCUAACUACGUGCCAGCAGCCGCGGUAAUACGUAGGGGGCAAGCGUUAUCCGGAUUUACUGGGUGUAAAGGGAGCGUAGACGGUUCUGCAAGUCUGAUGUGAAAGGCAGGGGCUCAACUCCUGGACUGCAUUGGAAACUGUAGAACUAGAGUGCCGGAGAGGUAAGCGGAAUUCCUAGUGUAGCGGUGAAAUGCGUAGAUAUUAGGAGGAACACCAGUGGCGAAGGCGGCUUACUGGACGGUAACUGACGUUGAGGCUCGAAAGCGUGGGGAGCAAACAGGAUUAGAUACCCUGGUA
RNAcentral lists this ribosomal RNA (434 nucleotides) under uncultured Lachnospiraceae bacterium. RNAcentral describes it as "partial 16S ribosomal RNA". It matches the Rfam family "Bacterial small subunit ribosomal RNA", at positions 341 to 792 of the family's 1533-position model. The record is from RNAcentral. Lineage: Bacteria; Bacillati; Bacillota; Clostridia; Lachnospirales; Lachnospiraceae.